CAGUCCUAUGAGGACGAAGUGACUGACACCACGCUUCCAGGAAAAGCCACUAAGCUUCAGCUUAAGAAAAACCGUACCGCAAACCGACACAGGUAGGCAGGGUGAGAAUCCCAAGGCGCUUGAGAGAACUCGGGUGAAGGAACUAGGCAAAAUGGCACCGUAACUUCGGGAGAAGGUGCGCCCUUUGGUGUGGUCACGUGCGUGACUGAGCAUUGAAGGGUCGCAGUAACCUGGCCGCUGCGACUGUUUAUCAAAAACACAGCACUCUGCAAACACGAAAGUGGACGUAUAGGGUGUGACGCCUGCCCGGUGCUGGAAGGUUAAUUGAUGGGGUCAGCCGCAAGGCGAAGCUCUUGAUCGAAGCCCCAGUAAACGGCGGCCGUAACUAUAACGGUCCUAAGGUAGCGAAAUUCCUUGUCGGGUAAGUUCCGACCUGCACGAAUGGCGUAACGACAGCGGCGCUGUCUCCACCCGAGACUCAGUGAAAUUGAAAUCGCUGUGAAGAUGCAGCGUUCCCGCGGCAAGACGGAAAGACCCCGUGAACCUUUACUAUAGCUUUACACUGAACGUUGAGUUCUUCUGUGUAGGAUAGGUGGGAGGCUAUGAAACCAGGACGCUAGUUCUGGUGGAGCCAUCCUUGAAAUACCACCCUGAAGUGCUUGACGUUCUAACCUAGGCCCGUAAUCCGGGUCAGGGACCGUGUAUGGUGGGUAGUUUGACUGGGGCGGUCUCCUCCCAAAGAGUAACGGAGGAGCACGAAGGUACGCUCAGCGCGGUCGGACAUCGCGCACUGUGUGCAAAGGCAUAAGCGUGCUUGACUGCGAGAUCGACGGAUCAAGCAGGUACGAAAGUAGGUCUUAGUGAUCCGGUGGUUCUGUAUGGAAGGGCCAUCGCUCAACGGAUAAAAGGUACUCCGGGGAUAACAGGCUGAUACCGCCCAAGAGUUCAUAUCGACGGCGGUGUUUGGCACCUCGAUGUCGGCUCAUCACAUCCUGGGGCUGUAGCCGGUCCCAAGGGUAUGGCUGUUCGCCAUUUAAAGUGGUACGCGAGCUGGGUUCAGAACGUCGUGAGACAGUUCGGUCCCUAUCUGUCGUGGGCGUUGGAGAUUUGAGGGGGGCUGCUCCUAGUACGAGAGGACCGGAGUGGACGUUCCGCUGGUGUUCGGGUUGUCAUGCCCAUGGCAUUGCCCGGUAGCUACGAACGGAAGUGAUAACCGCUGAAAGCAUCUAAGCGGGAAGCACGCCCCAAGAUGAGAUCUCCCGAGAGCUUGACUCUCCUAAAGGCACCAUCAAGACUAGGUGGUUGAUAGGUCAGGUGUGGAAGCGCAGCAAUGCGUUGAGCUAACUGAUACUAAUGAGCCGUGAGGCUUGACCAA
RNAcentral lists this ribosomal RNA (1375 nucleotides) under metagenome. RNAcentral describes it as "bacterial LSU rRNA". It matches the Rfam family "Bacterial large subunit ribosomal RNA", at positions 1570 to 2925 of the family's 2925-position model. The record is from RNAcentral.